CGGGGGGAGCAAGCGUUGUUCGGAUUACUGGGCGUAAAGGGCGCGUAGGCGGCCAGCACAAGUCAGUUGUGAAAUCUCCGGGGCUUAACUCGGAAAGGUCAACUGAUACUGUGCGGCUAGAGUGCAGAAGGGGCAACUGGAAGUUCUCGGUGUAGCGGUGGAAUGCGUAGAUAUCGAGAGGAACACCUGCGGCGAAGGCGGGUUGCUGGGCUGACACUGACGCUGAUGCGCGAAAGCCAGGGGAGCGAACGGGAUUAGAUACCCUGGUAGUCCACGCCGUAAACGAUGAUAACUAGCUGUCCGGGCUCAUGGAGCCUGGGUGGUGCAGCUAACGCAUUAAGUUAUCCGCCUGGGGAGUACGGUCGCAAGAUUA
RNAcentral lists this ribosomal RNA (373 nucleotides) under uncultured organism. RNAcentral's name for it is "bacterial SSU rRNA". It matches the Rfam family "Bacterial small subunit ribosomal RNA", at positions 526 to 896 of the family's 1533-position model. The record is from RNAcentral.